AGAGCUGACACGGGGUGCCAGGCCAGGAGGGCAGGCUGAGAAUCGAUACCCGUUGAACCUGUCCGGUUAGCACCGGCGGAGGGAUGUCAGAUGCUGCCGCU
Molecule: non-coding RNA, 101 nt
Filed under: Renibacterium salmoninarum
Lineage: Bacteria; Bacillati; Actinomycetota; Actinomycetes; Micrococcales; Micrococcaceae
Also listed under: 1 other name
Description: TPP sequence
Rfam family: TPP riboswitch aptamer (THI element)
About the family: Vitamin B(1) in its active form thiamin pyrophosphate (TPP) is an essential coenzyme that is synthesised by coupling of pyrimidine and thiazole moieties in bacteria. The previously detected thiamin-regulatory element, thi box was extended, resulting in a new, highly conserved RNA secondary structure, the THI element, which is widely distributed in eubacteria and also occurs in some archaea.
Source: RNAcentral